This 982-nucleotide ribosomal RNA is filed under the name marine metagenome. Its description in RNAcentral is "bacterial SSU rRNA". It matches the Rfam family "Bacterial small subunit ribosomal RNA", at positions 358 to 1373 of the family's 1533-position model. The record is from RNAcentral.
AGAAUAUUGCACAAUGGACGAAAGUCUGAUGCAGCGACACCGCGUGAGGGAUGAAGGUUUUAGGAUCGUAAACCUCUUUUAUUAGGGAAUAGUAAGGAAGGUACCUAAUGAAUAAGGUACGGCUAACUACGUGCCAGCAGCCGCGGUAAUACGUAGGUACCGAACGUUGUCCGGAAUCACUGGGCGUAAAGGGUCCGUAGGCGGUUUGAUAAGUCUCAUAUGAAAACUUCAAGCUUAACUUGGAGAGGUUGUGAGAUACUGUCAAACUAGAGACUGUUAGAGGUAAGUGGAAUUCCAGGUGUAGUGGUGAAAUGCGUAGAUAUCUGGAGGAACACCAGUGGCGAAAGCGACUUACUGGGACAGUUCUGACGCUAAGGGACGAAAGCGUGGGGAGCGAACCGGAUUAGAUACCCGGGUAGUCCACGCCGUAAACGAUGAUUGCUAGGUUUUCGGGGCAUCGACCCCUUGUGAGCCGAAGUUAACGCGUUAAGCAAUCCGCCUGAGUAGUACGGCCGCAAGGCUAAAACUCAAAGAAAUUGACGGGGGACCGCACAAGCAGCGGAGCGUGUGGUUUAAUUCGAUGGUAAGCGAAGAACCUUACCAGGGUUUGACAUGUAAGUAGUACUGAACCGAAAGGGGAUGGACCCGCAAGGGAGCUUACACAGGUGUUGCAUGGUUGUCGUCAGCUCGUGCCGUGAGGUGUUGGGUUAAGUCCCGCAACGAGCGCAACCCUCUUUGUUAGUUGCACUCUCUAACGAUACUGCCCUUAAAAGGGAGGAAGGUGGGGAUGACGUCAAAUCAUCAUGGCUCUUACACCCUGGGCUACACACACGCUACAAUGGCAAGUACAGACGGUCGCCAACCCGCGAGGGGGAGCCAAUCCGAUAAAACUUGUCUCAGUUGGGAUUGUAGGCUGAAAUUCGCCUACAUGAACGUGGAGUUGCUAGUAAACGCAGGUCAGCACACUGCGUUGAAUACGUUC